Non-coding RNA from Triangularia setosa, 137 nucleotides. The record is from the annotation of a GenBank genome assembly. NCBI's taxonomy places the organism in Eukaryota, Fungi, Ascomycota, Sordariomycetes, Sordariales, Podosporaceae.
GGGCGUAUGGUCUAAUGGUAAGAUUUCUCAUAAAGGCACCCCUCUCCGCUUAUCCCCCUUGUUACUCCAGGGCUUGCAUUGGAUGGGUACUUGGAAUGUCCUCAUGAAAGACCUGGGCUCGAGCCCCAGUGUGUUCA